RNAcentral lists this long non-coding RNA (488 nucleotides) under Nilaparvata lugens (brown planthopper). RNAcentral's name for it is "uncharacterized LOC120356381". The record is from RNAcentral. Lineage: Eukaryota; Metazoa; Arthropoda; Insecta; Hemiptera; Delphacidae.
CCCAACCAAAAAUUUGAUGACAGGUAUGUUGGCACUGGACGUGCACUUUAGCCAAAAUUUCUUUCAAUUAGAUAAUUGCUUUCAUACAUGUUCCAUUUGAUUUCAGACGAAGGUGGGAAUAGAACUGCAGAUACAUUUAUACUAAAAUCCACCAUGACAGAUGAAUAUGAUGCCAAGGAUUAGAUUUGAAAAAAGUUCAUCUCUCUACAUUUGAUGAAAGCCAUUUUCAGCAAAGGUGGGAAUAGAACUGCAGACGCAUAUACCAAAAUCCACCAUGACAGACGAAUAUGCUGCCAACUACAGUUUUAGAUUUAAAACUCCUUUCUACAUCUGAUGGAAACCAUUUUCAGACCAAGAGUAGAGAGACUACGCCUCAUGAAGCUCAAAUCGAGGACGAUAGCAGUUCAAAGUAAAAAUAUAUAAUUAGUUAUAAAUUGAAAGUUCAAUUUUUGUAAUAUUUAAUAAAAAUCAUUGCAUUUUAUUGAAAA